Molecule: ribosomal RNA, 776 nt
Filed under: uncultured Neocallimastigales
Lineage: Eukaryota; Fungi; Neocallimastigomycota; Neocallimastigomycetes; Neocallimastigales
Description: partial large subunit ribosomal RNA
Rfam family: Eukaryotic large subunit ribosomal RNA
Source: RNAcentral
GUAGUCUCGCACAGAUGCAUAUCAAUAAGCGGAGGAAAAGAAACUAACAAGGAUUCCCCUAGUAACGGCGAGUGAAGCGGGAAGAGCUCAAAUUUGAAAUCUUAAAGGGUUUCCCUUUACGAAUUGUAGUUUAAAGAAGUGUUUUCUGUUGAGGUUUUGGUAAAAGUUCUUUGGAAUAGGACAUCAUAGAGGGUGAGAAUCCCGUAUUUGACCUUUACUUUCAACUUUGUGAUACACUUUCAAAGAGUCGGAUUGUUUGGGAAUGCAGUCCAAAAUGGGUGGUAAAUUUCAUCUAAAGCUAAAUAUUGGCGAGAGACCGAUAGCGAACAAGUACCGUGAGGGAAAGAUGAAAAGAACUUUGAAAAGGAGAGUUAAACAGUACGUGAAAUUGUCAAAAGGGAAGCGUUUGACACCAGUGUUGUUUUUCUGAAAAUCAAUUAAAGAACUGUUUAUGCUAAGCUGUUUAGACUUUAUCAGCUAACUGUUUAGUUUUGAGCUUUUCUUUAAUGUACUUUUCAGUUAACAAGUCAACAUCAAUUUCUUUUGCUGUAAAAAAGCUUGAGGAAGGUGGCUUGAGAUUCGUCUUAAGUGUUUAUAGCCUCUUGCCUAGGCAGUCGGAGAGAUUGAGGUCUGCAGCGUAGAUCCUUCGGGGCUAAAUGCAUUUGUGCUAAGUUAUAGCAUUUUAUAGACAACUUGUUGACUAUGAUUUGUCUUGUAGGCUUACUCGCUUAUGUUAUUUUACCUACGCUUAGGAUGUUGAAGACUCUACAGAGAUA